Molecule: ribosomal RNA, 492 nt
Filed under: uncultured bacterium
Lineage: Bacteria
Description: partial 16S ribosomal RNA
Rfam family: Bacterial small subunit ribosomal RNA
Source: RNAcentral
AGUGAACGCUGGCGGUAGGCCUAACACAUGCAAGUCGAACGGCAGCACAGUAAGAGCUUGCUCUUACGGGUGGCGAGUGGCGGACGGGUGAGGAAUACAUCGGAAUCUACUUUUUCGUGGGGGAUAACGUAGGGAAACUUACGCUAAUACCGCAUACGACCUGCGGGUGAAAGCAGGGGAUCUUCGGACCUUGCGCGAUUGAAUGAGCCGAUGUCGGAUUAGCUAGUUGGCGGGGUAAAGGCCCACCAAGGCGACGAUCCGUAGCUGGUCUGAGAGGAUGAUCAGCCACACUGGAACUGAGACACGGUCCAGACUCCUACGGGAGGCAGCAGUGGGGAAUAUUGGACAAUGGGCGCAAGCCUGAUCCAGCCAUACCGCGUGGGUGAAGAAGGCCUUAGGGUUGUAAAGCCCUUUUGUUGGGAAAGAAAAGCAGCAGGUUAAUACCCCGCUGUUCUGACGGUACCCAAAGAAUAAGCACCGGCUAACUUCGUG